GUCACUGCCUAGUCCUUAACAGUCAC
RNAcentral lists this non-coding RNA (26 nucleotides) under Mus musculus (house mouse). Lineage: Eukaryota; Metazoa; Chordata; Mammalia; Rodentia; Muridae. The record is from RNAcentral.